CCCUUAGAUGUUCUGGGCCGCACGCGUGCUACACUGAGUGGAUCAGCGGGUCAGGUUGCGCGAAAGCGUUUCCUAAUCUUUAAAUCCGCUCGUGAUGGGGAUUGACGGUUGCAAUUUUCUGUCAUGAACGAGGAAUACCUUGUAAGCGCGGGUCAUCAUCCCGCGCUGAAUACGUCCCUGCCCUUUGUACACACCGCCCGUCGCUCCUACCGAUUGAAUGCUCAGGUGAGCCAUCCGGACUUUCAUCAUGCUGGUUUCCAGUUUUGAUGAAGGAAAGUCUUGCGAACCUUAUCAUUUAGAGGAAGGAGAAGUCGUAACA
RNAcentral lists this ribosomal RNA (319 nucleotides) under uncultured eukaryote. RNAcentral describes it as "partial 18S ribosomal RNA". It matches the Rfam family "Eukaryotic small subunit ribosomal RNA", at positions 1470 to 1796 of the family's 1831-position model. The record is from RNAcentral.